GACGAACGCUGGCGGCGUGCUUAACACAUGCAAGUCGAACGAAGAGCGAUGGAAGCUUGCUUCUAUCAAUCUUAGUGGCGAACGGGUGAGUAACGCGUAAUCAACCUGCCCUUCAGAGGGGGACAACAGUUGGAAACGACUGCUAAUACCGCAUACGAUCUAAUCUCGGCAUCGAGGAUAGAUGAAAGGUGGCCUCUACAUGUAAGCUAUCACUGAAGGGGGGGAUUGCGUCUGAUUAGCUAGUUGGAGGGGUAACGGCCCACCAAGGCGAUGAUCAGUAGCCGGUCUGAGAGGAUGAACGGCCACAUUGGGACUGAGACACGGCCCAGACUCCUACGGGAGGCAGCAGUGGGGAAUCUUCCGCAAUGGACGAAAGUCUGACGGAGCAACGCCGCGUGAGUGAUGACGGCCUUCGGGUUGUAAAGCUCUGUUAAUCGGGACGAAAGGCCUUCUUGCGAAUAGUGAGAAGGAUUGACGGUACCGGAAUAGAAAGCCACGGCUAACUACGUG
Molecule: ribosomal RNA, 510 nt
Filed under: uncultured bacterium
Lineage: Bacteria
Description: partial 16S ribosomal RNA
Rfam family: Bacterial small subunit ribosomal RNA
Source: RNAcentral